GUUAGAUAGUAGAAGGAUAAUUUGGGAGCAGGGGCAUGUAAGAACCGAAACUCGAGCAACACGCUUUUCCAAGUGAAUAGCACAUGCAAAAACUUGGGCGCUGAGUGUUGAGCACGCGGUGAGAGUGGCGGACGGGCGAGUAACGCGUGAGCAACCAACCUUGCACUGGGGGAUAACGUCGGGAAACCGGCGCUAAUACCGCAUGACAUUACUGGAUCGCAUGGUCUUGUAAUCAAAGCUCCGGCGGUGCGAGACGGGCUCGCGUCCAAUUAGCUGGUUGGCGGGGUAAAGGCCCACCAAGGCGACGAUUGGUAGCCGAACUGAGAGGUUGAUCGGCCGCAUUGGGACUGAGACACGGCCCAGACUCCUACGGGAGGCAGCAGUGGGGGAUCUUGCGCAAUGGGGGAAACCCUGACGCAGCGACGCCGCGUGAAGGAAGAAGGGCCUUCGGGUUGUAAACUUCUUUGAUCGGGGACGAAGCAGACGGUACCCGAGGAACAAGCCACGGCUAACUACGUG
RNAcentral lists this ribosomal RNA (519 nucleotides) under uncultured bacterium. RNAcentral describes it as "bacterial SSU rRNA". It matches the Rfam family "Bacterial small subunit ribosomal RNA", at positions 1 to 507 of the family's 1533-position model. The record is from RNAcentral.